CACGUAGGCGGACUUUCAAGUCAGGGUGAAAUCCCGGAGCUCAACUUCGGAAUUGCCUUUGAUACUGUUGGUCUCGAGUCCGGAAGAGGUGGGUGGAAUUCCUAGUGUAGAGGUGAAAUUCGUAGAUAUUAGGAAGAACACCGGUGGCGAAGGCGGCCCACUGGUCCGGUACUGACGCUGAGGUGCGAAGCGUGGGGAGGCAAAACA
This 207-nucleotide ribosomal RNA is filed under the name uncultured bacterium. RNAcentral describes it as "partial 16S ribosomal RNA". It matches the Rfam family "Bacterial small subunit ribosomal RNA", at positions 568 to 776 of the family's 1533-position model. The record is from RNAcentral.